This 29-nucleotide small RNA is filed under the name Bombyx mori (domestic silkworm). RNAcentral's name for it is "piRNA piR-bmo-1527446". Lineage: Eukaryota; Metazoa; Arthropoda; Insecta; Lepidoptera; Bombycidae. The record is from RNAcentral.
UAUAUUCGGUGAUCACCCUUACAAACAAC